CCUACGGGGUGCAGCAGUCGAGAAUUAUUCACAAUGGGGGAAACCCUGAUGGUGCGACGCCGCGUGGGGGAAUGAAGGUCUUCGGAUUGUAAACCCCUGUCAUGUGGGAGCAAAUUAAAAAGAUAGUACUACAAGAGGAAGAGACGGCUAACUCUGUGCCAGCAGCCGCGGUAAUAAAGAGGCCUCAAGCGUUGUUCGGAAUCACUGGGAGGAAAGCGUGGGUAGGCUGUUUCGUAAGUCGUGUGUGAAAGGCGCGGGCUCAACCCGCGGACGGCACAUGAUACUGCGAGACGAGAGGAAGGGAGGGGGAACCGGAAUUCUCGGUGUAGCAGUGAAAUGCGUAGAUAGCGAGAGGAACACUCGUGGCGAAGGCGGGUUCCUGGACAUUAACUGACGCUGAGGCACGAAGGCCAGGGGAGCGAAAGGGAUUAGAUACCCUGGUAGUC
Molecule: ribosomal RNA, 446 nt
Filed under: uncultured bacterium
Lineage: Bacteria
Description: partial 16S ribosomal RNA
Rfam family: Bacterial small subunit ribosomal RNA
Source: RNAcentral